This 888-nucleotide ribosomal RNA is filed under the name uncultured bacterium. RNAcentral describes it as "bacterial SSU rRNA". It matches the Rfam family "Bacterial small subunit ribosomal RNA", at positions 56 to 948 of the family's 1533-position model. The record is from RNAcentral.
UGCAAGUCGAGUGCGCGGCUGUAGCAAUACAGCUGGCGCACGGCGCACGGGUGCGUAACACGUGGGCAAUCUGCCCUCAGAUGGGGGAUAACCCCGCGAAAGCGGGGCUAAUACCGCAUGACAUUCCGGGGACUACGGUCCCUGGACUCAAAGGCCGCAAGGCCGUCAGAGGAGGAGCCCGCGCCCGAUUAGCUAGUUGGUGAGGUAACGGCUCACCAAGGCUUUGAUCGGUAGCCGGUCUGAGAGGAUGGCCGGCCACACUGGAACUGAGACACGGUCCAGACUCCUACGGGAGGCAGCAGUGGGGAAUAUUGCGCAAUGGGCGAAAGCCUGACGCAGCGACGCCGCGUGGGGGAUGAAGCUUCUCGGAGUGUAAACCCCUUUCGACCCGGACGAAUGACCCGCAAGGGUUUGACGGUACGGGUAUAAGAAGCCCCGGCUAACUACGUGCCAGCAGCCGCGGUAAUACGUAGGGGGCCAGCGUUGCUCGGAAUUACUGGGCGUAAAGGGUUCGUAGGUGGUGCGGCAAGUUGGGAGUGAAAUCUCUGGGCUUAACCCAGAGGCUGCUUUCAAAACUGCCGCGCUCGAGUGCGAGAGAGGCCAGUGGAAUUGCAGGUGUAGCGGUGAAAUGCGUAGAUAUCUGCAGGAACACCCGUGGCGAAGGCGGCUGGCUGGAUCGCAACUGACACUGAGGAACGAAAGCUAGGGGAGCAAACAGGAUUAGAUACCCUGGUAGUCCUAGCCCUAAACCAUCAGAACUUGGGGUGGCCCGCGUAGCGGGUCGUCCCGUAGCUAACGCGUUAAGUUCUGCGCCUGGGGAGUACGGUCGCAAGACUGAAACUCAAAGAAUUGACGGGGGCCCGCACAAGCGGUGGAACAUGUGGUUCA